Molecule: ribosomal RNA, 458 nt
Filed under: uncultured bacterium
Lineage: Bacteria
Description: bacterial SSU rRNA
Rfam family: Bacterial small subunit ribosomal RNA
Source: RNAcentral
AUUGAACGCUGGCGGCAGGCCUAACACAUGCAAGUCGAACGGUAGCACAGAGAGCUUGCUCUCGGGUGACGAGUGGCGGACGGGUGAGUAAUGUCUGGGAAACUGCCUGAUGGAGGGGGAUAACUACUGGAAACGGUAGCUAAUACCGCAUAACGUCGCAAGACCAAAGAGGGGGACCUUCGGGCCUCUUGCCAUCAGAUGUGCCCAGAUGGGAUUAGCUAGUAGGUGGGGUAACGGCUCACCUAGGCGACGAUCCCUAGCUGGUCUGAGAGGAUGACCAGCCACACUGGAACUGAGACACGGUCCAGACUCCUACGGGAGGCAGCAGUGGGGAAUAUUGCACAAUGGGCGCAAGCCUGAUGCAGCCAUGCCGCGUGUAUGAAGAAGGCCUUCGGGUUGUAAAGUACUUUCAGCGGGGAGGAAGGUGUUGUGGUUAAUAACCGCAGCAAUUGACGUAC